This 497-nucleotide ribosomal RNA is filed under the name uncultured bacterium. RNAcentral's name for it is "partial 16S ribosomal RNA". It matches the Rfam family "Bacterial small subunit ribosomal RNA", at positions 28 to 507 of the family's 1533-position model. The record is from RNAcentral.
GAUGAACGCUGGCGGCGUGCCUAAUACAUGCAAGUCGAGCGAACAGACGAGGAGCUUGCUCCUCUGACGUUAGCGGCGGACGGGUGAGUAACACGUGGAUAACCUACCUAUAAGACUGGGAUAACUUCGGGAAACCGGAGCUAAUACCGGAUAAUAUAUUGAACCGCAUGGUUCAAUAGUGAAAGACGGUUUUGCUGUCACUUAUAGAUGGAUCCGCGCCGCAUUAGCUAGUUGGUAAGGUAACGGCUUACCAAGGCAACGAUGCGUAGCCGACCUGAGAGGGUGAUCGGGCACACUGGAACUGAGACACGGUCCAGACUCCUACGGGAGGCAGCAGUAGGGAAUCUUACGAAAUGGGCGAAAGCCUGACGGAGCAACGCCGAGUGAGUGAUGAAGGUCUUCGGAGCGUAAAACUCUGUUAUUAGGGAAAAACAAAUGUGUAAGUAACUAUGCACGUAUUGACGGUACCUAAUCAGAAAGCCACGGCUAACUACGUG